RNAcentral lists this ribosomal RNA (492 nucleotides) under Starmerella apicola. RNAcentral's name for it is "LSU rRNA". It matches the Rfam family "Eukaryotic large subunit ribosomal RNA", at positions 71 to 668 of the family's 3401-position model. The record is from RNAcentral. Lineage: Eukaryota; Fungi; Ascomycota; Dipodascomycetes; Dipodascales; Trichomonascaceae.
GGGAUUGCCUUAGUAGCGGCGAGUGAACAGGCAAGAGCUCAGAUUUGAAAGCCCUCGGGCAUUGUAUUCUGAAGCCUUGGUCCUGAGAAUCGGUGUUUAAGUCUUCUGGAAAGGAGCGCCAUGGAGGGUGAUAGCCCCGUACGACACCACUCUCAUUGUAGGACUUUGGCAUGGAGUCGAGUUGUUUGGGAAUGCAGCUCAAAUGGGUGGUAUGCUCCAUCUAAAGCUAAAUAUCUGCGAGAGACCGAUAGCGAACAAGUACUGUGAAGGAAAGAUGAAAAGAACUUUGAAAAGAGAGUGAAAAAGUACGUGAAAUUGUUGAAAUGGAAGGAUAGGCCGCUAACCAUGUAGGGUCGUGUUCGAGGGGAAGAUAAAAGCUGAAGAAUGUAGCUCCUCGGAGUGUUAUAGCUUCAGUCCAUAUUCCCUCUCGAGCGCGAGGAUUGAAGACUCUGCUAAAUGGUGGUCUAUCACCCGUCUUGAAACACCGGACCA